RNAcentral lists this long non-coding RNA (2057 nucleotides) under Nicotiana tabacum (common tobacco). RNAcentral's name for it is "long non-coding RNA (NTAB_LNC016938)". Lineage: Eukaryota; Viridiplantae; Streptophyta; Magnoliopsida; Solanales; Solanaceae. The record is from RNAcentral.
GGCUCGGGUGAGUUUCAGAAAGGUUUGGACUGCAAACAGGUUGUUGGUGUGCUGUAGUUGUUGCAAUUGCGAGCACAAGCAUCACAAUUGCGAAUAUGAAAGGGAUGGUUCUCAAUUUCAAAGUCUAGGCUUGGGUAGGUGAGUUCUUUUUUGCUAUAAUUUUCUUGCAUUUGCGAGGAGGACAUACUUCGCAUUUCCGAAGUCUAUGUCGCAAUUGCGACAUCUCCUGGGUUUGUCAAUAGACGCAAUUGCAAACCCAGUGUCACAAUUGCGACAUCUGCAACUAAAAAAAAGGUUGAAAAGUCUGUAUUCCAUCUCAUUUUCUCUUAUUUUAGAACUCUAGUCUCGGUAGGAGACGAUUUAGAGAGGAGAUGUUCGUCAACAAACAUUAGGUAAGUGAUUAUAAUCAAUUUCCAACUAUAUUUCAUAAUUAUAUACUAGAUUUAACAUCAAAUUUAUGAGAAUAAAAGAUUAAAUUUGGGGUUUUUUGUCAAAGUAUUAAAAAAAUGAAGAUUUGGAUUUUGAGACUCGAUUUUGACUCGGAUUUGAAAAUAAAAUACAUAUAUAGACUCGUAGGAUUAUGGACGGGCCUGUGGUUGUAUUUUGUUGACCUUUUAGGAAAUGUGUAUAGAUCAUAGCUUUAUCUAUUGUAAUUGAUUUCUCUUGCAUUGUUUGAUGUUAUUAAGUCAUUUUUGGUUAGAUUUGAGCCACGUGGAGGCGAAUUUUAGGGAAAAAACUAUGUUCGAGGGUUGAUUUGGCCUAGUUGAGGUAAGUAUCUUACAUAACUUUGUGUGGGGGAAAUACUCCUUAGUAUUUGGGUUGUUUGCAUUAAUUGUACUAUAUGGAAGACAUGUACACAAGGUGACAAGUGUGUACACGGGCUAUAUGUGAUAUUUUGACCUGUUUAGACUUUUAGACUCUUUCCAUGCAUUUAAUUGAAUUUGUUAUAACAUGUUACAUCUUCAUUGUUAAAGUUUCUCUCACAUGCUGUAGUUGACGUUGUAAGCAUUUGUUAUAUCUUUUGUUUUUGUAAUUGCUCUUAUAUGCUUUAGUUAAAGUUGCUACCUCUCUUAUUGUCUUGUUACCCCUUUAUUGUUGGAUUACUCUUACUUGAAGUUGUUAUUUCGUGAAAUAUCUUCUUAUUGUGUUAUUGAUGUUGAAGUUGUGACAACUAUUAUCAUAUUGCGUUUGAAGUUGUUAAUUAUUGAGAUAUCUUUCCUUGUUGAGUAUUCCUCAUUCAUUUUGUUGUUAUUGAGAUUCUUGUACACAUUGUGAUUGAGCCAUGGGCUAUAUGUUGUGGUGACAUUGGUAUUGUUGAUUUUAGCAAGUGUUUUGGCAUAUGGGCACAUGUGGUGUGAGUUGAUUAAUGUGUUGGGAUAUUAAUAUGCAUGCAGUGGUAUAAGGAUAGGGGUUGAUACGCAUGCGGUGAGAUAAGGUGGGAUUUAUAUGCGUGUUGUUAGUAAAGGAAUUACUUGAAGCCACGCGAUGAGAUAAGGGGGGAUAAAAUGCAUGUAUCUAUUUCGGGAAAAUAUUUUUAAAAAAUAAAUGCAAGGCUCACACGGUGAUAUAAGAAAAUAUUGUGAUUUUGAUUGUGAAAUGAAGUUAUGAGGUGUGGUACCCCAGUUGUGAUUCUUGUUGUACAUCCUGUUUAAAAAAUACUUGUUGGUAGAGCCGUUUUUGUUGUUUACUCCAUUGUUUUACUUGUAAUUGUCCGUAUUUAACUACUUGUUGUUUCAUCAUGUGUUUACUACUUGUUGUCUUUAUCGCUUAAAUUACAUUGUUAGCUUACACUAUUGAACUGUUUAUCUGUCAUUUACUUCCUAACUUUCCAUUAUUAGACUAUGCUAUAGUACUCUGUUCAAUUUUCUUAUCCUAGUAGGUGUCUUGACCUAUCCUCAUCACUAGUCUAUAGGUUAGGCUUGAUACUUACUGGGUACCGUUGUGAUGUACUAAUACUACACUUCUGCAUAUUUGUGUGAAGAUCAAGGUACAUUUGCUCCUGCCGGAUGCUAGUGGUCAUUCAGCUAUUUCUGGAGACUUCAAGGUAUACAUGCCCG